AACGAACGCUGGCGGCAGGCCUAACACAUGCAAGUCGAGCGAGGACUUCGGUUCUAGCGGCGGACGGGUGAGUAACGCGUGGGAAUGUGCCCUUCUCUACGGAAUAGCCCUGGGAAACUGGGAGUAAUACCGUAUACGCCCUUUUGGGGAAAGAUUUAUCGGAGAAGGAUCAGCCCGCGUUGGAUUAGGUAGUUGGUGGGGUAAUGGCCUACCAAGCCGACGAUCCAUAGCUGGUUUGAGAGGAUGAUCAGCCACACUGGGACUGAGACACGGCCCAGACUCCGACGGGAGGCAGCAGUGGGGAAUCUUAGACAAUGGGGGCAACCCUGAGCUAGCCAUGCCGCGUGAGUGAUGAAGGCCUUAGGGUUGUAAAGCUCUUUCAGCUGGGAAGAUAAUGACGGUACCAGCAGAAGAAGCCCCGGCUAACUCCGU
This 432-nucleotide ribosomal RNA is filed under the name uncultured bacterium. RNAcentral describes it as "partial 16S ribosomal RNA". It matches the Rfam family "Bacterial small subunit ribosomal RNA", at positions 29 to 506 of the family's 1533-position model. The record is from RNAcentral.